RNAcentral lists this ribosomal RNA (3645 nucleotides) under bioreactor sludge metagenome. Its description in RNAcentral is "eukaryotic LSU rRNA". It matches the Rfam family "Eukaryotic large subunit ribosomal RNA". The record is from RNAcentral.
UCGAAGAUCUCAAAUAUGUGAGAUUACCUGCUGAACUUAAGCAUAUCAAUAAGCAGAGGAAAAGAAACUAACAAGGAUUUCCCCAGUAACGGCGAGUGAAGCGGAAAGAGCUCAAGAUAAGAAUUCCCACCGUGUUAACUCACGUGGGAAAUUGUGAUCUUGUGAUCCAGUACUAGGUUUUGAUUGCAGUGAAUAGAAGUUCGUUGGAACACGACGCCGUAGAAGGUAAAAGCCCUGUUUCGGAUUCACUAUGUACAAUAAUCAGCCAUACAGUCUGGAUUCAUCGAGUCGUGUUGCUUGGGAGUGCAGCACAAAUUGGGAGGUACAGAUCUUCUAAAGCUAAAUACCGGCGAGAGACCGAUAGCGAACAAGUACCGUGAGGGAAAGAUGAAAAGCACCUGGAAACGGGAGUGAAAUCAGAGCUUGAAAUUGUUAAGAGGCAAAAGCUGGGGAGACUUUUCUAAUUAUUUAUUUAAUGAUGCUUUGUAAGUCGAUGCUGAAAGGUUUACGAUCUUACGAUAUAAAGCCGUCAACGCAGUUUAUCUGAUUACGAGAUAUCGAUAGUAGCCCAAGGUUGUUUGCAUCCCCGCGACAAGCGGCGUGAUGUACAUCUUAACGCAUAUAAGGGCUAUUAUCACACAAGGUGUCUGGGGAUGAACUGUCCGGAUAAAACCGGAUAGUAUAAUACUACUGCUGGGCCGUGCUGUUGCAAUGCGGUGUGUAGAGAAUUCGUUCUAUGCGCGCCGCAUUGUGAUAUUCCGCGUUUGCCCACUGAGGUUUAAAAACUAGUUGACGAAUUAUAAAGGCCCUCAACUACCCGUCUUGAAACACGGACCAAGGAGUCUAACAUCUAUGCAAGUAUUAUAGUACAUCAGUCGAAACUAUAAAUGCGCAGUGAAAGCGAAGGCUAAUGUAGAUUAGCUGUAGUGUGAUUUGUUGUAGUCCGCCUUAAACAAGCGGAGCAGCAAUGCAACACUAACCGAUCGUGUUAAAUCUCCCUCAGCAAUGAGGUGAUCCGAUUUGAGUUAGAGCAUAAUCGUUAGGACCCGAAAUCUUGUGAUCUAUUCCCGAACGACGGUGAAGGCAGUUGAAAAAUUGUUGGAGGCCGGGCAACAGUACUAACGUGCAAAUUGUUUGUUUGAUUUGGGACUAGGGGCGAAAGACUAAUCGAACAAGGUAGUAGCUGGUUCCCCCCGAAGUGUUCCUUCGAACAGCUGGCGUGAUGAAAUAUAAAUCCAGUUUUGCCUGGUAAAGCGAAUGAUUAGGCAUUUUGGGAGUUCUUUAUGCUCCUGGGUGCAUUCUCAAACUUUUAAUGGGCAAGAUAUGUAGUCGUUGCAUAAUCCAAUCAUGGAACCUACAUUGUUAACAGAAUGGAAAGCGCUUAGUGGGCCACUUUUGGUAAGCAGAAUUGGCGAUUCGGAUUGAACCGGACGCGUGAGUUAAGGUAUCAAAUUUCUCAUUCAUCUAGAUACUGCAAAAGGUGUUACUCAAUUUUGACAGCAGGACUGUGGUCAUGGAAGUCGAAAUCAGCUAAGAAGUGUGUAAAAACUUACCUGCUUAAUUGAGUAGUCCUGAAAAUGGAAGAUGCUAAAAUGAGAGACCUAUACUCGGCCAUUAUAUAAGCAAUUGUGAAACAAGAGAAGUAUAUAAUGUGUAGGGGGGCGUGGAGAUUCAUUACAAACAUGAUGUCGCGAAGUAUUUACCGUGAGGUAAAACGGAACAAUCUCCAGUGCAGAUCUUGGUGGGAGUAGCAAUGAUUCAAAUGUGAGCCUUUGAAGACUGAAGUGGGGAAAGGUUCCUCGGGAAACGCAUUGUACCGAGGUUUAGUCGAUCCUAACUAUUAAGUUCUAAUCUGAUUUUGAAACGCUGUACGCUGAAGAGUGGUUGGGGUUACGACCUCUUGAUCACAGCCCUGUGUACAAUAUAGGAAAGGGAAUCAGGUUAAUAUUCCUGAACCUUGAAGUGCUUGAAUUACUUUGACCUCUGUUUGUCAAACGCUAAUCGGUAACGAAAGAGACGUCCAAGCCACCAGCGCGAUACCCUGAGAGAGAUCUCUCUUCUUUAUUAACAGCUCUCGACUCCGAUGCGUUCGGGGUGUUAUUUAAUUGGUCAAACAAUUGGAUAGAGACACUGCGGAAAUACCUUGCGUAGAGAAGCAGUUGCUCGGCUGGAAAAGCACUUUCAUUUUUGAUCUGACAAUAUAUUAGAUUCAAGCUAUUGUGAUGAACUUCCCCUAGUUUAUAGUGAAUCGGUGUCGGGUGCUAUCGCAAUGGUACUUAAAAAUUGGACUGAUUGUCUGUGCCAAGUCACUUCAGGUCGUACUCAUAUCCGCAUCAGGUCUCCAAGGUGAACAGCCUCUAGUUUUUGGGUGUAUGCAGGUAAGGGAAGUCGGCAAAUUAGAUCCGUAACUUUGGAAAAAGGAUUGGCUCAAAGGGUAACGGGGGAUUUAAUUAGGUGUGGUGAGUUUGACUACGAAUGGGCAGUGUUGGUUCGCCGCGCUGCACUAAUCACACCCGAUGCCCUCGAUUUAUUACUAACUUUGAACUGAAACGGACAAGAAGAAUCCGACUGUUUAAUAAAAACAUAGCAUUGUGAUGGGGAGAAAGUCCUGUUCACACAAUGUGAUUUCUGCCCAGUGCUUCGAAUAUCAACAUGGAGAAAUUCAAACAAGUGCAGGUAAACGGCGGGAGUAACUAUGACUCUCUUAAGGUAGCCAAAUGCCUAGUCAUUUAAUUUGUGACGCGCAUGAAUGGAGCAACGUGAUUCUUACUGUCCCUAUCUGCGACUCAGCGAAACCACUGCCAAGGGAACGGGCUUGGGGAUGACAAAGGGGAAAUGAGUCCCAAUGUGCUUGACUUCAUUCAGACUUUGCGAAUUGACUCGAUUGGUGUAGAAUAUGUGGGAGAGGCAACUCGAUCGUGAAAUACCACAACUUUUGACGUUAAUUUGCUCACUUUAUUAUUAUGUUGUACACCGCAGCGAUGCGGGGUGCUAUGUAUUUACGUGGUAAGUCCGCGGCGGCAACGUCGGGGGCGAACAUGUUGGUAUAAAGGACCAAGUCUGGUGGGAAGUUUGGCUGGGGCGGCACAUCUGUUAAACAAUAACGCAGGUGUCCUAUGGCGAGCUCAGACAGAACGGAAAUCUGUCGUCGAACAAAAGGGUAAAAGCUCGCUUAAUGAUGAUUUUCAGUACGAAUACUCAUUGAGAAAUCAUGGCCUAUCGAUCCUUUCAUUGAAUUUAUCUUCUAUGAUCUGUAUAGUGAGAGGUGUCAGAAAAGUUACCACAGGGAUAACUGGCUUGUGGCGGCCAAGAGUUCAUAUCGACGUUGCUUUUUGAUUCUUCGAUGUCGGCUCUUCCUAUUCUAGAAUCGCAGCAGGUUCUAUGGAUAAGAUUGUUCAUUUACUAACAGGGAACGUGAGCUGGGUUUAGACCGUCAUGAGACAGGUUAGUUUUACCCUUUUGUCAAAGGGGAGUUUUAAUGGUAAUCCAAGGUAGUACGAGAGGAACUCUUGGUUAACGUCGUUGGUCGUGACAGUUCUCCGUGAGGAGAUGGCUGUAUCGCUAGCAUGUUUUUGGUGAGAGUUGAACGCCUCUAAACUCGAACCAUGGCCGGGAAAGAUUCCAUAUAACCUUCCAUUCGUUUGU